AAUAUUCCUUUGUUUAGCCAGCCUUUCUAUCUUUAGAAACUAACCAUCUGCAGUAUUGACGCCGCCCAUUUGCGGUGGCCUUCAAUUUCUGCUUUCUAUUCUCGGAACACUCUUUUUCUCCCUACUCCAAAAGUAACCUUUUAUCUCCGUAUAUACAUAUAAAUUCACAAUUUAUUUCUCUUGAACUUUGUGUUUACCGAGUUUCGAGGGAUUCAACAAACACCAGUUUGUCAACUUAUGGAAGAAACGUAGAAACUCAGGUCGGUAUUUGGAAGCUACCCAGUAAAAAUAUAGGCUUUGGGUCCUUUUAAUUAUUAUUGAUAAUUUGUAAAGUUGAAUAUUUUGCAUUUUCCUCUGCAUCUGUUGGUGGGUUUUGUGCUGAGUUCAUUUCAGCUCAAUUUCAGGUAAUACCCAUAUCCAAUUUCACUGAGUCGUUGUGGGUUUGGCUAGUUUUUGGCUUCUUUUUUUUAUUGUAAUAUUUGCUGAUAAGAAGAUAUAUCUGAGUUGGGUUACUAUUAUUUUAGUUUUCUUAUUUUUUUUGUGUUUUAUUUUAUUGAAAGCUGUGGCAUUUUCUUUGCUAUGGGAGUUUUGCGGCUAAGGUGAGAGAGAAUCCGUGAAUUUUCAGUCUAAGGUCAGUAUGCAGUGCUGUUUUAUUUGCUCAAGUUUGAAGGAAUUUUUAGUCGGUUCAAUUGUCUUAAGGAUUGAUUGAAUCUUCACGUGACUGGUUCUUAUUUUGAUAAUUAAUAUGGGGUGUUCCAAUAACUUUUUGUUUGUAAAGGGAUUUUUUUUAGUAAAGGGACAAUUUUUUUUUUUUUGUAUAUAAAGGGACAAGGUGGAUGAUUUUCAUUUGUGGGCAUUGCAGGUUUGUGCUGUUUCAAUUGAGGAAGUUGGGUAUUUUGUUGGUUGGUUUGAACAAAUCAAUUGGGAAGAGAUAAAAUUAGGUUUUUCUUUCACCAAAAUAUUGGUGAGUGUAGUAGAGGUGGAGAGUUUUGAGUUUUGAGGGUGGAGCUUGGAUGAAGAUGAUGUUCAAAUACUGGGUUCUGGGUUUUCAAGUUGGUGAGGAUUUUAGGGAAGAAUAUAACUUUGUGUAGGAAAGUCUUUUGAAAGAGUUAUAGCAUUUUGAUA
RNAcentral lists this long non-coding RNA (1125 nucleotides) under Panax ginseng (ginseng). RNAcentral describes it as "long non-coding RNA (PGIN_LNC009358)". Lineage: Eukaryota; Viridiplantae; Streptophyta; Magnoliopsida; Apiales; Araliaceae. The record is from RNAcentral.